This 520-nucleotide ribosomal RNA is filed under the name uncultured bacterium. RNAcentral's name for it is "bacterial SSU rRNA". It matches the Rfam family "Bacterial small subunit ribosomal RNA", at positions 777 to 1297 of the family's 1533-position model. The record is from RNAcentral.
AAUAGAUACCCGGGUAGUCCACGCCGUAAACGAUGUCGACUUGGAGGUUGUGCCCUUGAGGCGUGGCUUCCGGAGCUAACGCGUUAAGUCGACCGCCUGGGGAGUACGGCCGCAAGGUUAAAACUCAAAUGAAUUGACGGGGGCCCGGCACAAGCGGUGGAGCAUGUGGUUUAAUUCGAUGCAACGCGAAGAACCUUACCUACUCUUGACAUCCAGAGAACUUAGCAGAGAUGCUUUGGUGCCUUCGGGAACUCUGAGACAGGUGCUGCAUGGCUGUCGUCAGCUCGUGUUGUGAAAUGUUGGGUUAAGUCCCGCAACGAGCGCAACCCUUAUCCUUUGUUGCCAGCGGUCCGGCCGGGAACUCAAAGGAGCUGCCAGUGAUAAACUGGAGGAAGGUGGGGAUGACGUCAAGUCAUCAUGGCCCUUACGAGUAGGGCUACACACGUGCUACAAUGGCAUAUACAAAGAGAAGCGACCUCGCGAGAGCAAGCGGACCUNAUAAAGUAUGUCGUAGUCCGGA